UCCAGAAUUGGCUUCGAGAUGAUUACGAGGUGGAAAGCAUUGAACAGUACACGAAAGAAGAGAUGCUUACCUUAGUUAAUGAAGUAGUUGCAAGGCUCAUGGUGUCAAAAUAAGGGGA
Molecule: unclassified non-coding RNA, 118 nt
Filed under: uncultured fungus
Lineage: Eukaryota; Fungi
Description: sequence contains ITS1
Source: RNAcentral